Nylanderia fulva is the source of this 1251-nucleotide long non-coding RNA. RefSeq lists it as uncharacterized. NCBI's taxonomy places the organism in Eukaryota, Metazoa, Arthropoda, Insecta, Hymenoptera, Formicidae. The record is from RefSeq and is a predicted model, not a curated record.
GCAGCGUGACGGAAGUGUGGGGUAUAGUCUCGUGCAAGUCUAAUGAAAGUGUAGAUAUUUAAUCACAAAUAAAGAUUCUUGUAGAAAAUUUUAUUUCUUCGUGCGGCACGACGCACGAGUAUCAGUUUCGCGCGAGUCGCGCAGCGUGACGAUGUAUGGGAUGCAUUAAUCUAAUGGAAAAGAUAGAAAGAGAGAGUUGCUUUCGUCGUACAACGUUAUUUUAUUAAAUAAUAUGUUUAGCCACAACAACCGCCUUCAGCUCCUAGCCCUUAUUUUAAUCUGUGAUUUAUUCUUCUCGCGAGCUUUUGAUUUACUAAUACAUCGCAUACUUGCUAUUAUAUCUUAACAGUAUUAUUGAAGCUGUAUUUGAGUGAAUUCUUAAAAGUUGCUGUAACCACAAUUUAUAUAACACAGUCAUAUAAUUAUACGAGGUAUAAGUUAUAAAAAUACUUAUUUUAUUUUAUUUGUUGCAUAUACCUACUUCUUGUAAUAUAUUAAUAUAAUUUAAUUGCUUUUUACUUAAUAUAAGAGAUAUAGUUCUUUUCCUUAAUCAUAAAUGUACUAAUCGUUGAAAACGUAUAAAAUAUAUAAUAUAAGAUGCACACAUUAAAUCCAAAGAAGGAGAAGGAUCAAUUAUGUUAUUAUUAUUGAUUUAAAUUUUGUGUUUCUUUAUCUUGCAAUGCUGAUACUUGUAGAAACAAAAUGGUGCGGUCUGAAGGGAUAUGGGACCAUGAAUUAUAUAGCUCAAAGUUCAAAGUAUCGGAAAAACGUAUUUCAAUAUAUUGGAUCCGCAGUGCUUCAAUUGUUUAUGCCUAACAGAUAGUUACGACCUUAACAAUAAAACGGAUUGGAAUGAAAAUUGCGAAAGGUGGAGUUGGAAAAACAAUGCCAAAUUUUAAUUAAUAACAGCAGAUUCAAUUUUGGCAAAAGGAAGAUCUCCUAUUUAAUCGUAGAACCCUCCUUUCCCAUUAUCGGUGUCAGGAUCCGAUAGUGAUUCUAUUGUACAUAUAAUAUAUAUUUUUGUAAUUUGUUAAUAGUUAUUCAAUAAUUAAGAGCUUGUAUACGUAAAAAAAUUGUGUAAAACAUAAAAAUUUUUGGAUAAUAAUUUCGGAUAAACUAUCGUUUAAUAAAUUUCAAUUGUAUUUUUCGGCGGUACGCCUCUUUUAAUUACAUGGGGAAUCGUUUUUGGAACCAUACUGAAAAAGAACAGAUAUACAAAAAUGAUAAAAUAAGUUGAAAAAUAAAAUUCAA